RNAcentral lists this ribosomal RNA (406 nucleotides) under uncultured bacterium. RNAcentral describes it as "partial 16S ribosomal RNA". It matches the Rfam family "Bacterial small subunit ribosomal RNA", at positions 30 to 526 of the family's 1533-position model. The record is from RNAcentral.
AUUGAACGCUGGCGGCAGGCCUAACACAUGCAAGUCGCACGAGUGGCGGACGGGUGAGUAAUGUCUGGAAAACUGUCUGUUGGAGGGAGAUAAUUACUGAAAACGGUAGCUAAUACCACAUACCAUAGGAUGUGCCCAGAUGGGAUUAGCUAGUAGGUGGGGUAAAGGCUCACGUAGGCGACGCUCCCUAGCUGGUCUGAGAGGAUGACCAGCCACACUGGAACUGAGACACGGUCCAGACUCCUACGGGAGGCAGCAGUGGGGAAUAUUGCACAAUGGGCGCAAGCCUGAUGCAGCCAUGCCGCGUGUAUGAAGAAGGCCUUCGGGUUGUAAAGUACUUUCAGCGGGGAGGCGUUACCCGCAGAAGAAGCACCGGCUAACUCCGUGCCAGCAGCCGCGGUAAUAC